CCUACGGGGGGCAGCAGUGGGGAAUAUUGCACAAUGGGCGCAAGCCUGAUGCAGCCAUGCCGCGUGUGUGAAGAAGGCCUUCGGGUUGUAAAGCACUUCCAGCGGGGAGGAAGGCGGUGAGGUUAAUAACCUCAUCGAUUGACGUUACCCGCAGAAGAAGCACCGGCUAACUCCGUGCCAGCAGCCGCGGUAAUACGGAGGGUGCAAGCGUUAAUCGGAAUUACUGGGCGUAAAGCGCACGCAGGCGGUCUGUCAAGUCGGAUGUGAAAUCCCCGGGCUCAACCUGGGAACUGCAUUCGAAACUGGCAGGCUAGAGUCUUGUAGAGGGGGGUAGAAUUCCAGGUGUAGCGGUGAAAUGCGUAGAGAUCUGGAGGAAUGCCGGUGGCGAAGGCGGCCCCCUGGACAAAGACUGACGCUCAGGUGCGAAAGCGUGGGGAGCAAACAGGAUUAGAUACCCGAGUAGUC
RNAcentral lists this ribosomal RNA (465 nucleotides) under uncultured Klebsiella sp. RNAcentral's name for it is "bacterial SSU rRNA". It matches the Rfam family "Bacterial small subunit ribosomal RNA", at positions 338 to 795 of the family's 1533-position model. The record is from RNAcentral. Lineage: Bacteria; Pseudomonadati; Pseudomonadota; Gammaproteobacteria; Enterobacterales; Enterobacteriaceae.